UCUAAACUCAAGUGAAAUUGAGAGGGGGACCAGAUGUAAAAUGGGGGUUGUUAAAUAUCCGCCAGUCUGUCGGCCUGUGCAUCAAACGUCGAUUCAGUUCAUUUUUUUUUUCUUUAAUCCAUGAGUUGAAACUCAUCCUCAUUUGAUCCCAACGUGAGGCAUCCAGAGAAAUGACACUGCCAAUACCCCAAGUAACAGCAGUCUGCCAUCUAUGGAAUGAAAACAGAUGAUGUGUCAACAGAUGGAACUUAGCACUAUAGACAUGAUGGAAUUUAUGUCUCCAUAACACUGGCUCAAAAGAGAAAAAAGUAAAAUGGAUGAUCAUGAUGCAGUUCUGUUGACCCCAAGUAGCCUCUUUGGUUUUUAAAACAGUUGUCAUGGCUGAAGGAUAAAACAGAGAAAUUUAAAUCAGCUAGAUAACUAUAUAUUAGCUAAAAGGGUUAAACUCAAUGGCUAAAAACUGGAGACCUGCAGGCAGCGGGGCUGACACUGUGGACUGUGGGCUUCCUGCCAGUGUGAUGCGAUUUAGUUAGAGAGUGUUCUCUCACUCACUGCCAGCUGCAAGAGCAGAGGCAACAAAGAUUCCCCUGUGACCCACACAGCAGCAGAUUCAGAAAAAGAUGGACGCCACAGUCCCUAACCCCUGCCAGUGGUAAUUGCCUUAAAUUAUUCAAUUGCAUCUGAAGCCAAAGAGGGUACAGCACGCUGGGUGUGCAGCUGCAGGGGAGAGCUUACGCGGUCCCGGCCCCUAGCUUACACUUACUGCCUGCUCUCUGCUCUAAACGACACCAAGAUAAGAACAGAGGAGAAAAUCUGAAUGGCCCAUCCUUCACCUUCAGCCAGGCUAGGCUAUAUGAAUGCAGCCAGAGUAAAAGGGAAACAUUUCAUCAUGUACCAUUAUCUACGUAAAAAGGGAAUAUGUGGUGAUUCAGACAUAAUAAAUUUAAAAGGAUGGGACUGUGUUAGUCGAUUUUGUUGCGUGACUUCCUCUGUUCUCUAAACAUUAGGCUGAAUCCUCUGACGGCAUUAGAGAAGCUCACACAGUAAGUGCAUAACAAGGCUCAAAGCAACAGCCAGCGUUAAUGGGGCGUUUGUGUAAACAUGCCGCUAAUAAGGCGAAUGAAAAAUAAUUAUAACUCCUUUUCUAAGAACCACUUGUGAUAAUGACCUGAGCAAUCACAAGGAGGAUAAAUAGCGAAGUUGGGGUCCAAAGGGUUGUUUAUUUUGAGCCAGUGUGCAAAAUGUGCAAAUAAAUAGGUAUAAGAGCUUAAAACAAAGAUUGUAAUAAAAACAGUCUAAAACUAGAACUGCAAGUACUAAAAACAGUACCAACUCCCCUCUACAACAUCGAGGCUGGAGUUUCACAUGCUACACAGCACAACAAUCUUGUCCAAGCUCUCUAUCCGUCCACCACAACUUCUAGUGGCGGCCAUCUUAAAUUCACAUUUUCUUCCUGCUCUCCC
Molecule: long non-coding RNA, 1463 nt
Organism: Cyprinus carpio carpio
Lineage: Eukaryota; Metazoa; Chordata; Actinopteri; Cypriniformes; Cyprinidae
Source: Ensembl